RNAcentral lists this ribosomal RNA (230 nucleotides) under uncultured eukaryote. RNAcentral describes it as "partial 18S ribosomal RNA". It matches the Rfam family "Eukaryotic small subunit ribosomal RNA", at positions 1208 to 1456 of the family's 1831-position model. The record is from RNAcentral.
GGGAAACUUACCAGGUCCGGACUUAGUAAGGAUGUACAGAUUGAUAGCUCUUUACAGAUUCUAAGGGUGGUGGUGCAUGGCCGUUCUUAGUUGGUGGAGUGAUUUGUCUGGUUAAUUCCGUUAACGAACGAGACCUUAACCUGCUAAAUAGAAGUGCCUAUCUUCGGAUAAGCGUCUUUCUUCUUAGAGGGACUUUAUGCGUUUCAGCAUGAGGAAGUUUGAGGCUAAAA